This 253-nucleotide ribosomal RNA is filed under the name uncultured bacterium. Its description in RNAcentral is "partial 16S ribosomal RNA". It matches the Rfam family "Bacterial small subunit ribosomal RNA", at positions 524 to 776 of the family's 1533-position model. The record is from RNAcentral.
UACGAAGGGUGCAAGCGUUACUCGGAAUUACUGGGCGUAAAGCGUGCGUAGGUGGUGCGUUAAGUCUGUCGUGACAUCCCCGGGCUCAACCUGGGAAUGGCGAUGGAUACUGGCGCGCUAGAGUGCGGUAGAGGAUGGCGGAAUUCCCGGUGUAGCAGUGAAAUGCGUAGAGAUCGGGAGGAACAUCUGUGGCGAAGGCGGCCAUCUGGACCAGCACUGACACUGAGGCACGAAAGCGUGGGGAGCAAACAGG